This 407-nucleotide ribosomal RNA is filed under the name Burkholderia sp. MP15. RNAcentral's name for it is "bacterial SSU rRNA". It matches the Rfam family "Bacterial small subunit ribosomal RNA", at positions 959 to 1370 of the family's 1533-position model. Lineage: Bacteria; Pseudomonadati; Pseudomonadota; Betaproteobacteria; Burkholderiales; Burkholderiaceae. The record is from RNAcentral.
UCGCGAAGGAACCUUACCUACCCUUUACAUGGUCGGAAUCCUGCUGAGAUGUGCGAGUGCUCGAAAGAGAACCGGCGCACAGGUGCUGCAUGGCUGUCGUCAGCUCGUGUCGUGAGAUGUUGGGUUAAGUCCCGCAACGAGCGCAACCCUUGUCCUUAGUUGCUACGCAAGAGCACUCUAAGGAGACUGCCGGUGACAAACCGGAGGAAGGUGGGGAUGACGUCAAGUCCUCAUGGCCCUUAUGGGUAGGGCUUCACACGUCAUACAAUGGUCGGAACAGAGGGUUGCCAACCCGCGAGGGGGAGCUAAUCCCAGAAAACCGAUCGUAGUCCGGAUUGCACUCUGCAACUCGAGUGCAUGAAGCUGGAAUCGCUAGUAAUCGCGGAUCAGCAUGCCGCGGGAAUACG